CGUACACUCCUGCGGGAGGCAGCAGUGGGGAAUUUUGGACAAUGGGCGAAAGCCUGAUCCAGCCAUGCCGCGUGCAGGAUGAAGGCCUUCGGGUUGUAAACUGCUUUUGUACGGAACGAAACGGCCUUUUCUAAUAAAGAGGGCUAAUGACGGUACCGUAAGAAUAAGCACCGGCUAACUACGUGCCAGCAGCCGCGGUAAUACGUAGGGUGCAAGCGUUAAUCGGAAUUACUGGGCGUAAAGCGUGCGCAGGCGGUUAUGUAAGACAGUUGUGAAAUCCCCGGGCUCAACCUGGGAACUGCAUCUGUGACUGCAUAGCUAGAGUACGGUAGAGGGGGAUGGAAUUCCGCGUGUAGCAGUGAAAUGCGUAGAUAUGCGGAGGAACACCGAUGGCGAAGGCAAUCCCCUGGACCUGUACUGACGCUCAUGCACGAAAGCGUGGGGAGCAAACAGGAUUAGAAACCCGGGUAGUCCC
RNAcentral lists this ribosomal RNA (475 nucleotides) under uncultured organism. RNAcentral describes it as "partial 16S ribosomal RNA". It matches the Rfam family "Bacterial small subunit ribosomal RNA", at positions 330 to 797 of the family's 1533-position model. The record is from RNAcentral.